RNAcentral lists this ribosomal RNA (481 nucleotides) under uncultured bacterium. RNAcentral's name for it is "SSU rRNA". It matches the Rfam family "Bacterial small subunit ribosomal RNA", at positions 26 to 521 of the family's 1533-position model. The record is from RNAcentral.
AGGACGAACGCUGGCGGCGUGCUUAACACAUGCAAGUCGAACGGAAAGGCCCUUUCGGGGGUACUCGAGUGGCGAACGGGUGAGUAACACGUGGGUGAUCUGCCCUGCACUUUGGGAUAAGCCUGGGAAACUGGGUCUAAUACCGAAUACACCUUGCUGGCUGCAUGGCCUGGUGGGGGAAAGCUUUUGCGGUGUGGGAUGGGCCCGCGGCCUAUCAGCUUGUUGGUGGGGUGAUGGCCUACCAAGGCGACGACGGGUAGCCGGCCUGAGAGGGUGUCCGGCCACACUGGGACUGAGAUACGGCCCAGACUCCUACGGGAGGCAGCAGUGGGGAAUAUUGCACAAUGGGCGCAAGCCUGAUGCAGCGACGCCGCGUGAGGGAUGACGGCCUUCGGGUGUAAACCUCUUUCAGUAUCGACGAAGCGCAAGUGACGGUAGGUACAGAAGAAGCACCGGCCAACUACGUGCCAGCAGCCGCGGU